This 1270-nucleotide long non-coding RNA is filed under the name Sus scrofa (pig). RNAcentral describes it as "lncRNA (ENSSSCG00025034845.1)". The record is from RNAcentral. Lineage: Eukaryota; Metazoa; Chordata; Mammalia; Artiodactyla; Suidae.
CUCGUGUGUCGGGUGCUGGGUGCUGCUGUGUGGGGCAGCCCCUGGCGGAGGAGAGCGUGACCGGCCGUGGUGGGUGGGAGGUGGAGACGCUGGUCUGCAUGGUGGGGGCAGCUCUGGCCCCCCCGCUGGCCCCCAGGGGUUAAAGCAGGCCGUUCUCCGUGUGGCUCCGUCUCACACAGGACACGCACCACACGCGGCGGGAAACGCGGGCUCCUGCUCGGGCUUGGAGAUGGGGGGGCGACUGCCAUCGACUCUGGCUUCUGCCGUGGCGAUCGCUCUUGUUUCCGCCAAGACUCAGGGCAAAGGCGAGGAGGAGGGGCUCAAGUUGGCGUCUGGUUGCCAGCAGGUGGCUCUCGCCUCCCCAGCAGCGGGCGAAGUCAGGCGUUGAGAUCAGUGACCGGUGUGGCCCCGUGGCAGGUUCACUUUAACCGGGACGGCUCCCUGAUCGUGUCGAGCAGCUACGACGGCCUCUGCCGGAUCUGGGACACCGCCUCGGGCCAGUGCCUGAAGACGCUGAUCGAUGACGACAACCCGCCCGUGUCCUUCGUGAAGUUCUCUCCGAACGGCAAGUACAUCCUGGCCGCGACCUUGGACAACACGCUGAAGCUCUGGGACUACAGCAAAGGGAAGUGUCUGAAGACGUACACCGGCCACAAGAAUGAGAAGUACUGCAUAUUCGCGAAUUUCUCUGUCACUGGCGGGAAGUGGAUCGUGUCGGGCUCGGAGGACAACUUGGUUUACAUCUGGAACCUGCAGACGAAAGAGAUUGUGCAGAAGCUGCAGGGCCACACGGACGUGGUCAUCUCGACGGCCUGCCACCCCACAGAGAACAUCAUCGCCUCGGCCGCGCUGGAGAACGACAAGACCAUCAAGCUCUGGAAGAGCGACUGCUAGGCCCGCGGGCGCGGGGCUGUCGGGACGCCCAGCCGGGCUGGCGAGAGCUCGGUGCUCGAGGGGCUCCCUGGUCCAGGCCUGGGGACUGGAGGCGCCUGGGCCUGCGCCGCCUCCGAGGACGGCUUGGCCGAGGGCCGUGUCCCCCGCAGAGGUUCUCGGAGCUGCCGGUGGCGAUUCUUGCCAAUGCCUGUCUUGUUGGCUGGGGAAGAGUUAGAGUCUGUAUUGUGUUCGGAGGCCACAGAAAUUUCUAAUUUUUUAUUACAAAAGGUGAAGUUCAAUUUAUCACGAGUUGUGUUUUUUUCCAGUAACUGUUCUGUGCAUUUUAUCACCCAGUGCAAGUGCUGGACCAGUCGCCACCACGGUGUGUGGGCGCCAG